This 126-nucleotide small RNA is filed under the name Salmonella enterica subsp. enterica serovar Infantis. RNAcentral describes it as "RtT RNA". It matches the Rfam family "RtT RNA". From Rfam's summary of the family: This family represents a bacterial cis-regulatory element known as RtT RNA. Lineage: Bacteria; Pseudomonadati; Pseudomonadota; Gammaproteobacteria; Enterobacterales; Enterobacteriaceae. RNAcentral also lists the same sequence under 142 other names. The record is from RNAcentral.
UUGCUAUCUGCGAUAUGGAAGAUUCGAACCUGCCGCAGGUCCGGGUCUCACGCAGUGAGACAACGGAGCCGUUUACGGCGACGGCCCGAAGGGCGAGCGAAGCGAGUCAUCCUGCACGACCCACCA